UUCAAAUGCAGAAACCAAAAAUCGCAUUGCCGCCAAUUUUCUCCUGCGAAACCAAACCACAGAGGAAGAAUUUUUCUCACCAUUUGCUCUUUAUCUUCAUCCUUCAUCGGCAGGGAAUGACUUGACAGUUUGAUUAAAGAGCACAGGAAAAAGAAGCUCUUUGCUUGGAAUUUUGAACAUAGUUUAGCUGCUGUGAGAUCCAGAUAUAUUAUGGAUUAAAAUCUUGUAUUCGAGGUUGAAAUGAGAUGCAAUGAGUGCUGGCGAGAAUUGGAAGGACGAGCUAUUUCCACUACUUGUGAUCAUCUCUUGUUUAUCCAAGUUCAAUUUAUGAUUCUGCUUUUUCAGUUUUGUUUUUUAUGUUUCCUUUGACUUCCUUUCUGUGAGUAAUUAAGGAUUGGUACAUUUUUAUAUUUAUUUCCUUAACAGUAUGAUAGGCGCUGAAGAUGCCAGUAAGAUCCUUAGUAAUGAUGCAGCAUGUCCAAUUUGUGAUCAAGUGCUCUCUAAAAGCCUUACGAAACCUGUGGAUAUCAGUCCAAAUGACGAAUGGAUAAAUAUGGCCAUAGCUGGAGUAUCUCCUCAAAUACGUAUCUUUUAUAGUAAAUUAUUACUUACACCUCCUCCUCUGUCAAGUCCAUCUGCUGCCCAAUAUAAUUGAGCGGGAUUGUUAAUGUUACCUAACAAAAUAAUUUGCCCUUUAUAUUUGAGAGAGUCACCGGACUUAAAAAGAGGGGAGGUUUCCAUUGAAAUUCACAGUAAAUUUUGCAAAAAGGACACAUUAGAAACUGUAUUUCCUUAAAUGAACUAAGUUAUGAAAAGUGCACACAGAAGUGUGAUGUUUUAUAUUGGGCAAAAGGAACUGGAGAUGCAAUACAAGAUGAACUGAAUUGUAGCUCAAUGUUGGAAAAAAUGUGAGGUCAUGCAAGAAAAGUUUGCAGAAAAACUGGAAUAGGUGCAUACUGCAUAUCAAAAAAUGGCUAAGAGGUGUCAGAUGAUGGAACAAGAGAUUGAGAGUUUGUCCAAGGAUAAGCAAGAGCUCCAAGAAAAAUUUUCUGAGAAGUCCAGGCAGAAGAGAAAGCUUGAUGAAAUGUAUGAUCAAGGUAGAUGUUGAAGGACAAUCUAUCCCAAUAACUCAAGCCGAAGAAGUCCUAAAUUGACAAAUAAAGAAUGUAGCAGUCCAGAACAAGACAAUGCAAUGCAUUGACUCAAAGAUAGAUCAAGUUCUUCAUAGAACUCAUACCAUUGAUCAAAAGGUGGAUUCUUUUACUUUGUUUGCCUAGAAUAUGUAUAGAGAACUCCAAACCAAGAUCACACAGCUGGACAAAAAUCUACACUCUUUAAUUUAACAAAGAAGGUUUGAUUGGAAUUUAAUCAAAAGGAAGCAGAGAUAAAGAGACUGAAGACGCAACUAGCCCAAGAUGAAGCAGACCUACACAGACCUAUGAAAACACUUGCACCCUAUAGCCAUUUCUCUCCACAAAAGACACAAAACCCUUUCAUAACCACACCAGCACCUGUUUGUUCUCCAUUUAGCUUUGCCUUUGAACCAACACUUGCACCAUAUAACAUUUCUCCAUUAUUUUAUAAACAAACUCCUCCAUUUGACCCAACUAGAUUUGAAUUCGGCAAUCUCUCUUUCUUUGAUGAAUCUCUUUAAUUUGUCAAGAGAAAGAUUCAUAAAGGAAAAAAAU
Hevea brasiliensis (rubber tree) is the source of this 1688-nucleotide RNA transcript. RefSeq lists it as uncharacterized. The transcript has 6 exons. Lineage: Eukaryota; Viridiplantae; Streptophyta; Magnoliopsida; Malpighiales; Euphorbiaceae. The record is from RefSeq and is a predicted model, not a curated record.